This 235-nucleotide non-coding RNA is filed under the name Paenisporosarcina sp. RNAcentral's name for it is "T-box sequence". It matches the Rfam family "T-box leader". Rfam says of the family: Uncharged tRNA acts as the effector for transcription antitermination of genes in the T-box leader family. The record is from RNAcentral. Lineage: Bacteria; Bacillati; Bacillota; Bacilli; Caryophanales; Caryophanaceae.
UCAAAAGCUGUGACCGGGAAGAGUACAUGAAACCCUUUAUUUCAGGAAGUUUGCACCGAGACUGUGAGUGCAAAUAAUAAAGAUUCAUCGAAGUUCACCCCGUUAGCUGCCAUCAGGACCAGCAAUUGCUGUAAAGGUGCGCCGGUGAAGAGCCGUUAAUUCAAUGAAGUGAUUACGUCUGGAUACUCAGCGUAGUAAUCAGGGUGGUACCGCGAAAAUGUUCCUCGUCCCUUUU